RNAcentral lists this ribosomal RNA (274 nucleotides) under uncultured bacterium. Its description in RNAcentral is "partial 16S ribosomal RNA". It matches the Rfam family "Bacterial small subunit ribosomal RNA", at positions 523 to 796 of the family's 1533-position model. The record is from RNAcentral.
AUACGGAGGGUGCAAGCGUUAUUCGGAAUCACUGGGCGUAAAGGACGCGUAGGCGGGUUAUUAAGUCGGGUGUGAAAUCCAAUGGCUCAACCAUUGAACUGCAUUCGAAACUGAUAACCUAGAGUAUGGAAGGGGCAGGUGGAAUUAGUGGUGUAGGGGUAAAAUCCGUAGAUAUCUCUAGGAAUACCGAAAGCGAAGGCGACCUGCUGGGACAUUACUGACGCUGAGGCGUGAAAGCGUGGGGAGCAAACAGGAUUAGAAACCCUAGUAGUCC